UACGUAGGUGGCAAGCGUUAUCCGGAUUUAUUGGGCGUAAAGGGAACGCAGGCGGUCUUUUAAGUCUGAUGUGAAAGCCUUCGGCUUAACCGGAGUAGUGCAUUGGAAACUGGGAGACUUGAGUGCAGAAGAGGAGAGUGGAACUCCAUGUGUAGCGGUGAAAUGCGUAGAUAUAUGGAAGAACACCAGUGGCGAAAGCGGCUCUCUGGUCUGUAACUGACGCUGAGGUUCGAAAGCGUGGGUAGCAAACAGGAUUAGAUACCCUGGUAGUCCACGCCGUAAACGAUGAAUGCUAAGUGUUGGAGGGUUUCCGCCCUUCAGUGCUGCAGCUAACGCAAUAAGCAUUCCGCCUGGGGAGUACGACCGCAAGGUUGAA
RNAcentral lists this ribosomal RNA (376 nucleotides) under uncultured bacterium. RNAcentral describes it as "bacterial SSU rRNA". It matches the Rfam family "Bacterial small subunit ribosomal RNA", at positions 524 to 898 of the family's 1533-position model. The record is from RNAcentral.